RNAcentral lists this ribosomal RNA (466 nucleotides) under uncultured bacterium. Its description in RNAcentral is "partial 16S ribosomal RNA". It matches the Rfam family "Bacterial small subunit ribosomal RNA", at positions 28 to 507 of the family's 1533-position model. The record is from RNAcentral.
GAUGAACGCUGGCGGCGUGCUUAACACAUGCAAGUCGAACGAUGAAGCCCAGCUUGCUGGGUGGAUUAGUGGCGAACGGGUGAGUAACACGUGAGUAACCUGCCCUUGACUCUGGGAUAAGCCCGGGAAACUGGGUCUAAUACCGGAUAGGAGCGCCUGUCGCAUGACGGGUGUUGGAAAGAUUUUUCGGUAAUGGAUGGACUCGCGGCCUAUCAGCUUGUUGGUGAGGUAAUGGCUCACCAAGGCGACGACGGGUAGCCGGCCUGAGAGGGUGACCGGCCACACUGGGACUGAGAGACGGCCCAGACUCCUACGGGAGGCAGCAGUGGGGAAUAUUGCACAAUGGGCGGAAGCCUGAUGCAGCGACGCCGCGUGAGGGAUGACGGCCUUCGGGUUGUAAACCUCUUUCAGUAGGGAAGAAGCGAAAGUGACGGUACCUGCAGAAGAAGCACCGGCUAACUACGUG